This 102-nucleotide small RNA is filed under the name Streptococcus pyogenes. RNAcentral describes it as "Single-guide RNA from Streptococcus pyogenes (PDB 7S36, chain R)". Lineage: Bacteria; Bacillati; Bacillota; Bacilli; Lactobacillales; Streptococcaceae. The record is from RNAcentral.
GGCUGCGUAUUUCUACUCUGUUGUUUUAGAGCUAGAAAUAGCAAGUUAAAAUAAGGCUAGUCCGUUAUCAACUUGAAAAAGUGGCACCGAGUCGGUGCUUCG